AUGCAGUCGAACGGUAACAGGAAGCAGUCAUUGCUGCUUCGCUGACGAGUGGCGGACGGGUGAGUAAUGUCUGGGGAUCUGCCUGAUGGAGGGGGAUAACUACUGGAAACGGUAGCUAAUACCGCAUAACGUCGCAAGACCAAAGAGGGGGACCUUCGGGCCUCUUGCCAUCAGAUGAACCCAGAUGGGAUUAGCUAGUAGGUGGGGUAACGGCUCACCUAGGCGACGAUCCCUAGCUGGUCUGAGAGGAUGACCAGCCACACUGGAACUGAGACACGGUCCAGACUCCUACGGGAGGCAGCAGUGGGGAAUAUUGCACAAUGGGCGCAAGCCUGAUGCAGCCAUGCCGCGUGUAUGAAGAAGGCCUUCGGGUUGUAAAGUACUUUCAGCGGGGAGGAAGGCGAUGCGGUUAAUAACCGUGUCGAUUGACGUUACCCGCAGAAGAAGCACCGGCUAACUCCGUGCCAGCAGCCGCGGUAAUACGGAGGGUGCAAGCGUUAAUCGGAAUUACUGGGCGUAAAGCGCACGCAGGCGGUCUGUCAAGUCGGAUGUGAAAUCCCCGGGCUCAACCUGGGAACUGCAUCCGAAACUGGCAGGCUUGAGUCUUGUAGAGGGGGG
This 618-nucleotide ribosomal RNA is filed under the name Escherichia sp. RNAcentral describes it as "bacterial SSU rRNA". It matches the Rfam family "Bacterial small subunit ribosomal RNA", at positions 55 to 661 of the family's 1533-position model. Lineage: Bacteria; Pseudomonadati; Pseudomonadota; Gammaproteobacteria; Enterobacterales; Enterobacteriaceae. The record is from RNAcentral.